AAAAAGAUAAACCCUGGGUUUCCGUAUCCAUCAUUUGAUUGUCCGUCUUAUAUGAAAUUUUUUUAUAAUUAGUAUUUUCAUUGUUGUUAGAUGAUAAAACAUAAUUAAUACUUUAUACGUGACUUAUCUUUUUUAUUUUUUUCAUAAUUUUUUCAAAUAAGACAGACGGUCAAACGUUGGACACGAAAACCUAGGGUUUGUCCUUUU
Oryza glumipatula is the source of this 207-nucleotide non-coding RNA. The record is from Rfam. Lineage: Eukaryota; Viridiplantae; Streptophyta; Magnoliopsida; Poales; Poaceae.